GGGGUUAGUAUGUCUCAGUAACGGCGAGUGAGCGGCAAAAGCUCAAAUUUUAAAGCUGGCACCUUCGGUGUCCGCGUUGUAAUUUUGUGAGGCAUCUCCGGGUAGGGCGCCGGCCUAAGUUCCUUGGAACAGGACGUCAUAGAGGGUGAGAAUCCCGUGCUUGGCUGGCUGUCCCCGUCCAUGUGAGGUGUCUUCGACGAGUCGAGUUGUUUGGGAAUGCAGCUCAAAAUGGGUGGUAAAUUUCAUCUAAAGCUAAAUAUUGGUGGGAGACCGAUAGCGCACAAGUAGAGUGAUCGAAAGAUGAAAAGCACUUUGAAAAUAGAGUUAAAAAGUACGUGAAAUUGUUGAAAGGGAAGCGCUUGAGACCAGACUUCGGUGGGGAGUGAUCAGCUGUCCUUCUGGGCGGUGCACUUGCUCCCCUCCGGGCCAGCAUCGGUUGGGACGGCGGGAUAAAGGUCCCGGGAAUGUGGCUCCUCUCGGGGAGUGUUAUAGCCCGGGUGAAUGCCGCCAGCCCCGACCGAGGACCGCGCCUUCGGGCUAGGAUGCUUGGCAUAAUGGUCUUCAGCGACCCGUCUUGAAACCACGGGACC
RNAcentral lists this ribosomal RNA (590 nucleotides) under Morchella sp. RNAcentral describes it as "partial large subunit ribosomal RNA". It matches the Rfam family "Eukaryotic large subunit ribosomal RNA", at positions 66 to 664 of the family's 3401-position model. The record is from RNAcentral. Lineage: Eukaryota; Fungi; Ascomycota; Pezizomycetes; Pezizales; Morchellaceae.